Taeniopygia guttata (zebra finch) is the source of this 5355-nucleotide long non-coding RNA. The record is from Ensembl. NCBI's taxonomy places the organism in Eukaryota, Metazoa, Chordata, Aves, Passeriformes, Estrildidae.
UCACAAUUUGCUUUCACUUUGAAUAGACAAAAAUGAAAGCUCCCCCCAACAAAUAUUGAGAUUUUUACACUGAAUGGGAUAGGUUUUGCAUUUUAAAAUAAAAAUACAAACUUGAUGGAAAGACUGAAAAACAUAAUCAAGCCAGAAGUUACAUGAUUGGAACCCCAUUUUUAAACAUAAAUUAUUUGCAGUAUGACAAAGGAGAAAGAUCUGUGCUUUUUAAAUACCUUGGUCUGAAGACAAAUCUAUAUAUAGUCAAUUUUUUUUGAAUUAAAAUAUUUAGAUAAGAGCUAAUACUAAAUUUGUAACAGAAUCUUUGCUCUUCAGGUUUAUAUAUUGCUUCUAACAGUUUCAUCUAGAAGAUAGAUGGCACUUUGCAUUCACAAAAUAUCGUGCAAAGCAUUAAUCACAUAAUCUUCACUGUCUGCUCUGUAAUAGAUAACAGAAAAAAACAUUUCACAAAGAGAGAAACUGAGCAGCCAGACAACUCAACCACAAGAAAAGCUGCCAUUUAUGCUUAAGACUUUCUAAUUCCACUCUUGACCCAGCUUUAUGCCUCUUCUGCACUGCCUGUACGGUUCACAGCUUUCUCAGUAACACAUCUGCAACUUCUCUGUACUUACAGGCUCAUUUCCAGGUAGUUUUCCUUAUUCCAGAAUAAAAUACUUGAGAGCAGGAGCUCAGCUAAGCAGAGCUGCCAGAAGGGUGCUCUGCCCAGCCCAGGACCCACCUGGGCAGCAGCUAAAGAACCCAGCAGGGAUUUCUUUCUGCAAAAUUACAGCCCAGGGUUGGGUUUCAAAUACUUGUAGCCCAAGGACUGGUUUGGAGCAACAUUGCUGGGUGACCUUGGUCAAGCUUUACUGAGAAAACUGUUGCUUCAAUUGGAAUAGAGAACAUGAGCUAAAGCCAUGCAAAAUAAGGACAAAAAGAUCAAAGUUCAAUUGUUGACUUGAUGAUAAUUAGCCACGCAAACAAAAGUAUUGAAAAAAUAUAAAACUAUAAGAAAUAAGAAUCAAAAAAGCAAAAGAAUGACCUCAGCAAGACUGAGGACCAGGCUCUUUGAAGAGAAAACAGAGGUCAACACGUCUCUCCUGCCUGGCUCCAGAAACUCUUGGUUAUCUCCUUGGUGCUGAUGAGCAUACUGUUAGCAUAAUGCUCAAUACAUGAUGUCCACAUAAAUACAUGUGUAACCCCAUCAGGUGUUGAAAGACAUUUGGCUUGAGGUGAGAGAGCAAAGCAGGAUAUUUCAGUAAUGGAUUUGAGCAGGUACAAAGAAUUUACAAAGAAUUCUACUUGGUAAGGCAGUGAGACUGCCAUAGCAAUAGAGGUCUGCAGUACAACAUCUAAAACUAGAGUGAUCUCAAUCUCUUCAAAUCCAGAUGUGAUUCAAAAUGAAAUUUAUUUCAUUACUGUUCUCCUUGGCAUAGUAGUGAGUACCUUUUGUGUCAAGACUUCAGAUCCAGAACUAAAGUAAACAGGAUGAUCUUCCAGUCAAGAACAAGUGACAACACAUUUUCUUUUACACUUAGAUGUGGGUUUCUCGAGACAACACACCAAUUAUCUAAACAUUUUUGAAUUCUCUUUUCAAAAGCCAGAAUGCAAACGUAUAACACGACACAGAUUUGAACUUUAAUCUUAAGAUGAUGAAUUUCUAGAACCAAUCUCAGUGACAUUUAAUUUUACUCCAUAUUUUGGGACUCUGUCAGCUAUUUAAGCUAUUAAUCUAUAGCUUACUACACUUCCCUGGUAGCAAUAUUGGGUCCCAAGGCUGACUUCAAAGAGCUAGGGAAUGACUACACAAAAAUGGGAAGAAGGCCAAAAAGCAAUUAAUUUUUGUUCUACCAUUUCAUUAUAUUUACACAUACAUGGAAAUACACAGCCAAAUAUCAUUCCAAGGUUUCCUUUAAUCAGGCUAAACAAGCAGUGCUCAGCAGAUGUCUAGCGGGCAGCAGUCAAUGAAAAGUCAUGUUUUGGACUGAGGCUUUCCUGACUGCCCAGAUAAUCUGAUUUCUUUUGCCACACUAGGAUUCCCAAAGUGGAAUCCCUGCACACCUACAUAAGUCAAGGUGACUUAACUACUGCUGGAUUCUGAGCUUUCUAUUUAGAGCUUGACUAAAGGUUUGGGUUUGGUUUGCUAGGGUUUGGGUAUUUUAUUUUUUUUUCAAAAUAGGGUAUUUUCCACCAUUCUUACAAUUUUUUGAGAGUUCUCCAAAGUCACUGAAAGGUUUUCAGUGAAUUGCCAAGUCCUACAGAGCUUUUUUGACUAAAGUAUAGCACAGCUCCAAGCAACAGAUGAAGAACAGGUCAUGAUAGAUUUCCUCUAGGGAAUUGUACCUACUGAUUUUAGGGGUGGGUAGGGGAGAGAAUAUAUUUAAUAGCUCCUGAAAUUGUGUUACUUUAUAUGAUCAAGCAGAUAAUGUGUCACAAAAUGGGAGUAUAAAUAAUAUGCAUGUAACAACUCAGCUGUUCAUAAUAUCUCCCUGAAGCAAGACAGUGAAAUCUGAAUAAUAAAGUUGUGCAUAUCAUAUAAAAUAUAAAUGAGACAAACUAUUUUUAAAAAGUACUCUUCAUAUUUAAAAGGUUUAUCUAAGUAACCUAUUUCCUACUAUGUAUCUAAUACUUCACUAACUGUAAUAGCAGCAGCACAACCUAGACUGAUUACACUUACAGGAGAGAUGUUUCCAAGAAAAAUUCCAUCCAGUUUGGGUGCCAGCAGCUGAACAUUUCAGUUGACUAAAUAAGCAAAAUCCAGCUUUUGACUAAAUAUUACAGAGGUCAAAUUUUAAAUAGCUUCAAACUACAUUUCUGCAAGUAGGAACUUCAUAUGAAAUACGGUUUAAUUUUUUUUUGUAUAUGUGUUUUUGGGUUUUUUUUGAUUGCCACUUCUAAGGACCAAAUGAGAAAAAGUAAUUCAUUCAACUGUACUCACCAUUAACUUAUGAUAUCUGUUAACUCACUGUUAGGAAUUAAAACAAUUGGCUUCAGCAAACUUGACUAUAGAAGCAUUGUGAGGCAAGAUUAUACCAUGAAAGCUAUUUUAAAAAACACUUAUGUAACUUAUGUGGCUCAUUUCAAGACUGUCAGACUUCUAAAUUUUGUAAAGUACUGUGCCUAAGUUUUCUGGAAGUCAGUGUCCAACGUUUCGUCUUCCAGGUUCCCCCAGUUUUAAUCAGUUUUGGUUUAAUCUGAGACAGUAUUUUUUUCCAUUAUAAAACUCAGUUUGAUUAUUCCACCUCUUGGGGUCCUACACUUUUGUGGCUUUAAAGUGCUUCAUUCUUACUUAAUUGCUUUCAGGCAGACUUUAGAAAGAGCUCAGAACAAUCUCUCACUGAUGGAAAACCUCUGCUCUGUUAAAAGGCCAUCAAAAAAUGCACCUUUUUCCUUUUGCACCCAACUAAUCAGCACACAGAAACUGUGUUUAAGGAAUUCACAUUCUUAGGAACAUCCUUUUUGAACUUAGCUUCCCUUAGUGAUAAUUCAUAGCUCAAGAUAUACUUCACAAUACUGUCCUAAAUAGUGUUGAAUUGGUAUUCUCUGCUCCACUGGGCAAUCCAUCUAGACGUGUAAAGAAAAAUCAAGACAGUCACAAUUAUUUAUGGUUGACAGACACUGGCAACAUGAAAUUGCACAGUAACCCUUGGAAAGCCCUAUACCUUGUUUGAACAAUAAAAAGAUGAAGAUUCACAGCAAAUUGGUUAUUAUGAUUAGAAGGAAAUAAUAACCAACCCAAACCAAAAAACUAUCUCAGCAAUCAAGUGUCACUUAAAUUGCUUGAAUUAUUUGACAUAUCUUUAAUGUGUAAUACAUAUUAAUAAAACAAAUGAGAAAUACCACUGAGAUUUCAGAAGACAGCACUACAGUACAGCUGGAGAAAAAUCAACUUAAAAUGAAUUUAGAUCAUGGAAUCGAUAUCUAGGGAUUUACUAAGGAUCACUGAAUCCUUCAUUAUUGAUCCAUGAAAAUACCAUCCUUAUAUUAUGCAGGACACAAUUACAAGUUAUUUUUACAAAGUCACACAAUAAGCAUCAACAAGCUGUGUACUGAUUAAAAAUCAGUGCUGAAUAUAUUGCAUAAGGAAUUAAAGUCAUGUCAAAAAUGAGAGCAUGUUACAAAAUUCAUAGGCUUCAUGCUCUUAACUGGAGAUAUAAAAUGCAUGCUUGCUUCCUUGUCAUUUCAGUCUUUCCGGGAGCUUGAUGCUAAUAGGACCUCUACAUCUUCUCCUAACAUAGAAGGAGAAUUUAAAAUGAAAAUUACUCAAAUAAACUCUACAAAAAAAUUCACUAUAUUUUUCUACUUCAUAAAGACAACUGGCUUGACUGUUUUCUGCUAAAAUCUCAUAAACAGACUACAUUGUAUUUGUGUAGUUCAAUCUCUUAUUUUAUCAGUGACUCACUGCAUUACAUACAAAGAACACUGCCGCUCAAAUUGUAUUGCUAAUAAAUUGUAUCAUGUUAGAAUAUGUUUUUUUUCUCUCAGUUUUGCACCUCAUUCUCAGAAAAUAUUAAAGGAGGCACAUGAGAGGAAUUUUUUUUUUUUUUUUUACAACAGCAUUAAACGAAUGUUGUCUCCCAUCAAUAAUCUUCAAUUCCACAAAGCAACUUUCCAGUGCCAAAGAAAGUUCUGGUCUUGCAUUCAAGUCUCCAAUGCCCUGGCUGAAAACACCAGGGUAUAGUUGAGAUAAAUCUACCUAUAACCUUCCAAAUCACGGAGGCUGCAUUAAUUAGCCACACUUUCAGAAAAAUAGAAUAAAAGAUAUUAAUCUAAAAAUCUACACUUACAGGAAUAAAAAGUGAUUUAUAAGGACAUAAUCAACAAGUUUUAAACAGGAAUCUCUCAGAAUAUCUAAACUAUUUGCUAUCUAUAUCUGAAAUAAUAAUUAUUGGCAUUUUAUUCAUAUCAGAAUCCCACACAGAUGUUUUAGUUGCCCAUUUUUGCAUCAGUGACACCACUGGAAUGUGCUACAAGUUAUGGUUAGCACAAUAGCCUCAACCAGAAAUAGAGCACACUUUUUAUGUCUAUUUUAUAUUUGUCUGUUUUCAAAAAAACUAAAAGAAAUCUGUUGAUAGCAAGUUUUAGACAAAAUUGCAUUGAGACCCAUUACCAUGAAGUUUGUACAAACAAAAAUAUUAGCACCAGAAGUCCCCAAUGAAAAGAAAACCCAAACAACACAGGAAUGUUUACCCCAUAAUAUUCUUAGCAAAGUCAUAUAUAUGGGGUUUUGGUUUAUAAAUAGAUGCAAUUUGAGAGCAUGCAGUCAGUCAAACAGAAUGUGCCAGAAAAAAAGAGAAAAAAGGGAAACAUAAACUAACCAAUCAAAGAACAACAAAAAACUUAAAAAAAAAAAAAAAGAAAAAG